GCAGUGGCAGCUACCAAGAUUCUGUUACACUUGAGAAAAUGGUGACUCAUCUGAGAGACCUCGGGGAGGGCGAGGAAGCCAAGCCACAGCCUUGAAAUCAUCAAGACUCUUUUCACCAUAAUGAGUUUGUGUGCGGGAGAAGGUGCUUAAGGUGAAAACUGAAUAAACUAAUCCAGAGGAAACUGUUGGACCAGAGUUAAGAAUUAUCAAUGUCACACUCACAGGACAUUGACUUUGACCACACAAACAUAACUGCAAGUCUGCGUGCUUGCUGACCCUGACAGCUCGUAUAAGGA
Long non-coding RNA from Mastomys coucha (southern multimammate mouse), 296 nucleotides. RefSeq lists it as uncharacterized. The record is from RefSeq and is a predicted model, not a curated record. The transcript is spliced from 3 exons. NCBI's taxonomy places the organism in Eukaryota, Metazoa, Chordata, Mammalia, Rodentia, Muridae.